This 520-nucleotide ribosomal RNA is filed under the name uncultured bacterium. Its description in RNAcentral is "partial 16S ribosomal RNA". It matches the Rfam family "Bacterial small subunit ribosomal RNA", at positions 355 to 864 of the family's 1533-position model. The record is from RNAcentral.
UGGGGAAUAUUGCACAAUGGGCGCAAGCCUGAUGCAGCCAUGCCGCGUGUGUGAAGAAGGCCUUCGGGUUGUAAAGCACUUUCAGCGAGGAGGAAGGUGGUGAGCUUAAUACGCUCAUCAAUUGACGUUACUCGCAGAAGAAGCACCGGCUAACUCCGUGCCAGCAGCCGCGGUAAUACGGAGGGUGCAAGCGUUAAUCGGAAUUACUGGGCGUAAAGCGCACGCAGGCGGUUUGUUAAGUCAGAUGUGAAAUCCCCGGGCUCAACCUGGGAACUGCAUUUGAAACUGGCAAGCUAGAAGUCUCGUAGAGGGGGUAGAAUUCCAGGUGUAGCGGUGAAAUGCGUAGAGAUCUGGAGGAAUACCGGUGGCGAAGGCGGCCCCCAUGGACGAAGACUGACGCUCAGGUGCGAAAGGCGUGGGGCAGCAAACAGGAUUAGAUACCCUGGUAGUCACGCUGUAAACGAUGUCGAUUUUGGAGGUUGUGCCCUUGAGGCGUGGCUUCCGGAGCUAACGCGUUAAA